UUUCUGUAUUUAUCUGUACAUGUCUGUAGUACAUACUGUUUGCACCCCUCGUGGGGAGUUGGUGCACGUGCGUAACACAUCUGAACCCUUUCCCUCCCUCUCUUGGCCUCCAGUUGUGGUGGGUAGUAGGCUCUCUCCACUUUCAGCCUGGCACUUCGGUGGGUCUCUCCAUCUUGGAGCGCGGGUUUCCUCAUAGUGUGCCUCUGCCCCAGGAGUAGGGGACCGGUUGUGGGCUGCGCCCAGAGUUGCUCCAUGCCCCUGCCUGGUGGAGGAGGGCUGGAUUCUGUCCUCUUCUGAACUUGCAGCAGGCUGGGUGGCAGGCUGCGCUGUUUUCCUCUUAGCAGCUUGGAGCUUGUCCACGAGGAAGGAUGCGCUUCGUCCUCACAUCUGUCCUCAGCCUACCCAUCCCGCCCAGGAUGCCUGGUGGGGAUCUUCUCAUUGCCCUGGUGGGCCUGUUGCCCUGGUCCUGCACCAGGCCCUGGGAGGCCAGGCUCCUGUCCUGCAUCUCCUGCAAGGGGUAUGGCUUCAGGCUUCUCAGUUGCUCUGAGAUCUCUCACCUCUCUGAUGGGUUCAAGGUCAUAAUUUUACAGAUUAUCUGGCUUAUUUGUUCCAUUUGGGGUGAUUUUCUCUCCAGUUUCUUGCCUUCCAAGUUGAGGUUGGAUCAUUGUUGCUACAGAGCAUGUUGGGAGGGGUGAUUGUUGGUGAAAACUUGGUGUCACCCACGGGAGUCAAUGUGGACGAGGUGCAGGGCCUGGUCUCUGUGACUGGGUUUGCUGAACUAGCCUGAGUCAAGUCCAGCAGAUUUGGGUGGGGUCCUCUUGUCUAGACAGCAAUGACUCAGCCAACUUCAUGUGUCUUGUCUGGCCCCAGGCUGGAGUAAGGCUGACCCUCGCUGUGGCCUGGAGAACGGUGACCUCCCAGCCCUGGUUUCUGAGCAUGGCAAGUCCUUGUGGAGUUCAGCGACAGCUUCGGUGCACAGUUCUCAUGGUAGACAAUUCACAAGUGUCUUUUAAGAAAGUAUUUCCCUUAAGAUACAACACAAAGAGAAAAGGUAUAAAACGAUACUUAAGAUGCCAGCGUGGUGCAGAGGACAGUGAGCCCUGACCCUGCACCCUAAAGACCUGGCAGUGGCUCUGGACCUGCUCUGGAGGGGCUGUGUCAGCGUGGGCUCCCUGCAGGGGCCCCACGUGCUCGUGG
Molecule: long non-coding RNA, 1197 nt
Filed under: Heterocephalus glaber (naked mole-rat)
Lineage: Eukaryota; Metazoa; Chordata; Mammalia; Rodentia; Bathyergidae
Description: lncRNA (ENSHGLG00000033988.1)
Source: RNAcentral